UGGGGUGCAGCUCAGUUGGUAGAGUGCUUGCUCACCAUGCACAAGGCCCUGGGUUUAAUCCCCAGCACCACAC
Molecule: transfer RNA, 73 nt
Filed under: Neotoma lepida (desert woodrat)
Lineage: Eukaryota; Metazoa; Chordata; Mammalia; Rodentia; Cricetidae
Rfam family: tRNA
About the family: Transfer RNA (tRNA) molecules are approximately 80 nucleotides in length.
Source: Rfam by way of RNAcentral